AUGACUAAAACUUCACCUGGUAGAGAAAGAAAAGGACUCAAAGUCCAGGGAAGGCAGCUGCAGGUGCACGGAGGCUGGGGCAGGGUGGAGAGAGACCGGAGGACUGAGAGACCCUUCAGGAGUCAAGUCUCCACCACCAGCGAUAAUCCGGCUGCGGGGAGAUUGCUGGCGGGGAUGCUGGGCCCACAGGCACCCAGGACUCCCAGUCUGGAGAGUGGGUGCUGCCGUCCUGUGUGCUCCCGGCCCGUCGGCCCCGGUCGUGCUCACACGUAUGUCCGUGUGCGCACUGGCAGCAACCCGGAGGCCAUGCCACGGAAGCCCUGCAGCACUGUCGCCGCGGCUCACCAAAAUAGCACCGAGCAAUUUAGGUCACGAAUGGACAAGCUCCGAGCCGCGCGGGGUGGGGGAACCUGCAUUGACCCCACUGUGUUAGGGCCUCUCACAGCUUUGGCUUUGGCGAAGGAACGGAGGCUGGAUGUCGUCGGGAAGUGGCCACCAGGGAGCUGCUGUCCCCAGGAGACCCUGCCUGGCCCUGCUCCAUCCUGGGGCGUCUCGCCCAGGGUGCCUCCUCCGUGGCCACACGGCCCACCCCCACCUCCCCCGCAGCCUGUGGCUCAAAGGCCACCCGCCCUCGCAGACCCCACCCGGCUGCCUCUGCCUCUGCGCACACACAGCCCUCGGUUCCUGGUUUGCGGCGCCAGGUGACGCUAUCCCAUUGUCAACGAGGACAGGCCGGCAGGCGAGUCUCCUUUGUGUCUCUAUCCAGCACACAGCACACAGUGGGCGCUCCCUAAAUGCACGCUCGUGGUGCGGCACCCGUCCUUCCUGCCCAGGGCUCGGCACCCCUCCCCAGCUCCCCUGUGUCCCAUGGGCAGGCGCCCGCAGUGUCUUCACGGACCUGUUCUCACCUCGCCUUCCCAGCUACCCUCUGAGCCCGGGACUGCUGUGACCCCACUCCGCAGAUGGGAAAACUGAGGGCAAGUUCCCACCACUGACCCCGGGGCACAGCCAGGAGCAGCAGCACCAGAUGAGGAUCAGCUGUAUUGACGGAGCCGGAGACCGGUGGGGAGGGGGCUCCUGUCUGAUGCUUUUUAAAUAAAC
RNAcentral lists this long non-coding RNA (1101 nucleotides) under Vulpes vulpes (red fox). Its description in RNAcentral is "lncRNA (ENSVVUG00000001103.1)". The record is from RNAcentral. Lineage: Eukaryota; Metazoa; Chordata; Mammalia; Carnivora; Canidae.